This 116-nucleotide ribosomal RNA is filed under the name Pantoea sp. M_10. The record is from RNAcentral. Lineage: Bacteria; Pseudomonadati; Pseudomonadota; Gammaproteobacteria; Enterobacterales; Erwiniaceae.
CCUGGUGGCUUUAGCGCGGUGGUCCCACCUGACCCCAUGCCGAACUCAGAAGUGAAACGCCGUAGCGCCGAUGGUAGUGUGGGGCCUCCCCAUGCGAGAGUAGGGAACUGCCAGGC